RNAcentral lists this ribosomal RNA (390 nucleotides) under uncultured bacterium. RNAcentral describes it as "bacterial SSU rRNA". It matches the Rfam family "Bacterial small subunit ribosomal RNA", at positions 28 to 419 of the family's 1533-position model. The record is from RNAcentral.
GACGAACGCUGGCGGCGUGCUUAACACAUGCAAGUCGAGCGGUAAGGCCCUUUCGGGGGUACGACGAGCGGCGAACGGGUGAGUAACACGUGGGUGACCUGCCUUUAGCUCUGGGAUAAGCCUGGGAAACUGGGUCUAAUACCGGAUAUGACUCCAUGAUGCAUGUUGUGGGGUGGAAAGCCUUGUGCGGCUGGAGAUGGGCCCGCGGCCUAUCAGCUUGUUGGUGGGGUGAUGGCCUACCAAGGCGACGACGGGUAGCCGGCCUGAGAGGCGACCGGCCACACUGGGACUGAGACACGGCCCAGACUCCUACGGGAGGCAGCAGUGGGGAAUCUUGCGCAAUGGGCGAAAGCCUGACGCAGCGACGCCGCGUGAGGGAUGACGGCCUGG